ACCCGCUGAACUUAAGCAUAUCAUUCAGCGGAGGAAAAGAAACCAACAGGGAUUGCCUCAGUAACGGCGAGUGAAGCGGCAAGAGCUCAGAUUUGAAAUCGGCCAACCGGCUGAGUUGUAAUCUGUAGAGGAAGGUUCGGUUGAAGUGCUGGCUAAAGUCUUCUGGAAGGGAGCGCCGUAGAGGGUGAGAGCCCCGUCUAGCCUGCGUCUGACGCCAUGUGUACCUCCUUCGAAGAGUCGAGUUGUUUGGGAAUGCAGCUCAAAAUGGGUGGUAAAUUCCAUCUAAAGCUAAAUAUAAGCCAAAGACCGAUAGCGCACAAGUAGAGUGAUCGAAAGAUGAAAAGCACUUUGGAAAGAGAGUGAAACAGUACGUGAAAUUGUUGAAAGGGAAGCGCUUGUGGUCAGACUUGCGCGCAGUUGCUCAGCCGUUCUUUGAGCGGUGCACUCGACUGCGCUCAGGCCAGCAUCGGUUUGGGCGGCUGGAUAAAGUCUUGAGAAAUGUGGCCUCUCGGGGUGUUAUAGUCUCUUGAACAAUACAGUCAGCCUGGACCGAGGACAGCGUUCGCUAGGAUGCUGGCGUAAUGGCCAUCAGCGACCCGUCUUGAAACACGG
RNAcentral lists this ribosomal RNA (612 nucleotides) under uncultured fungus. Its description in RNAcentral is "eukaryotic LSU rRNA". It matches the Rfam family "Eukaryotic large subunit ribosomal RNA", at positions 23 to 664 of the family's 3401-position model. Lineage: Eukaryota; Fungi. The record is from RNAcentral.